GACGAACGCUGGCGGCGUGCUUAACACAUGCCAGUCGAACGGAAAGGCCCUGCUUUUGUGGGGUGCUCGAGUGGCGAACGGGUGAGUAACACGUGAGUAACCUGCCCUUGACUUUGGGAUAACUUCAGGAAACUGGGGCUAAUACCGGAUAGGAGCUCCUGCUGCAUGGUGGGGGUUGGAAAGUUUCGGCGGUUGGGGAUGGACUCGCGGCUUAUCAGCUUGUUGGUGGGGUAGUGGCUUACCAAGGCUUUGACGGGUAGCCGGCCUGAGAGGGUGACCGGCCACAAUGGGAGUGAGAUACGGCCCAGACUCCUACGGGAGGCAGCAGUGGGGAAUAUUGCACAAUGGGCGGAAGCCUGCUGCAGCAACGCCGCGUGCGGGAUGACGGCCUUCGGGUUGUAAACCGCUUUCGCCUGUGACGAAGCGUGAAUGACGGUAAUGGGUAAAGAAGCACCGGCUAACUACGUG
RNAcentral lists this ribosomal RNA (468 nucleotides) under uncultured bacterium. RNAcentral's name for it is "partial 16S ribosomal RNA". It matches the Rfam family "Bacterial small subunit ribosomal RNA", at positions 28 to 507 of the family's 1533-position model. The record is from RNAcentral.